CAGGACGAACGCUGGCGGCGUGCUUCAUACAUGCAAGUCGAACGAGAAUCUGGAGCUUGCUUCAGAGGAAAGUGGCGGACGGGUGAGUAAUAUGUAGAGAAUCUGCCCUUGAGCGGGGGACAACAGAGGGAAACUUCUGCUAAUACCCCAUAUGAGCUUAGUUGAAAUACUAAUCUUGAAAACUCCGGUGCUCAAGGAUGAGUCUGCAUCUGAUUAGCUUGUUGGCGGUGUAAUGGACCACCAAGGCGACGAUCAGUAGCUGGUUUGAGAGGAUGAUCAGCCACAAUGGGACUGAGACACGGCCCAUACUCCUACGGGAGGCAGCAGUAGGGAAUUUUGCGCAAUGGGCGAAAGCCCUGACGCAGCAACGCCGCGUGAACGAUUAAGCCCUUCGGGGUGUAAAGUUCUGUCAGUAGGGACGAAUUUUGACGGUACCUACAGAGGAAGCACCGGCUAACUCCGUGCCAGCCGCUGC
Molecule: ribosomal RNA, 475 nt
Filed under: uncultured bacterium
Lineage: Bacteria
Description: bacterial SSU rRNA
Rfam family: Bacterial small subunit ribosomal RNA
Source: RNAcentral